This 227-nucleotide long non-coding RNA is filed under the name Hordeum vulgare. RNAcentral describes it as "long non-coding RNA (HVUL_LNC018549)". Lineage: Eukaryota; Viridiplantae; Streptophyta; Magnoliopsida; Poales; Poaceae. The record is from RNAcentral.
CUGUCCUUCUUCUUCUCCUUCUUCUUCUCUUCUUAUUUUCUUAUUUUCUUCUUAUACUCCUCCUCCUCCUUCUUCUUCUCCUUCUCCUCCUCCUCCUUCUUCUUCUUCUUCUUCUUAUUCUCCUUUUUCUUCUCCUUCUUCUUCUCUUCAUUCUUCUCCUGUUUCAUCUUCUACUUAGCUUAUUUCCCCAACAAAUGCAUAAUUAGCUAAUUUAGCUCCAAAAUGAC